Molecule: ribosomal RNA, 404 nt
Filed under: uncultured bacterium
Lineage: Bacteria
Description: bacterial SSU rRNA
Rfam family: Bacterial small subunit ribosomal RNA
Source: RNAcentral
GACGAACGCUGGCGGCGUGCUUAACACAUGCAAGUCGAACGGGGCGAAGUGAUAGCUUGCUAUUAUGGAGCCUAGUGGCAAACGGGUGAGUAACGCGUAGGCAACCUGCCCUUCAGAUGGGGACAACACCUCGAAAGGGGUGCUAAUACCGAAUGACGUUUCCUAGUCGCAUGACCUGGAACCAAAGGCCGGGCAACCGGUCACUGAAGGAUGGGCCUGCGUCUGAUUAGCUAGUUGGUGGGGUAACGGCUCACCAAGGCGACGAUCAGUAGCCGGUCUGAGAGGAUGAACGGCCACAUUGGGACUGAGACACGGCCCAAACUCCUACGGGAGCAGCAGUGAGGAAUAUUGGUCAAUGGGCGAGAGCCUGAACCAGCCAAGUAGCGUGAAGGAAGACUGCCCUA